Molecule: long non-coding RNA, 856 nt
Organism: Planococcus citri (citrus mealybug)
Lineage: Eukaryota; Metazoa; Arthropoda; Insecta; Hemiptera; Pseudococcidae
Exons: 2
Source: RefSeq, a predicted model, not a curated record
UGAGGGUUGGUAUUGAUUCUCUUGUGAGAGCAGAGAGCAUUCGUGCCACAUUUCAGACCAAAAUCAAUGGUGUACUACACACACACAAUAAAAAACCUCGAACAGAUGAACAUUCGUUAUUUCACAUUUAUAGAAAAAUUUACUGCUCUGUUUGGCGAUUAAAACCUCAAUUAAAUGUUCAAAACACGACAUCGCGGCAGCUAAGUAAAUUUUGCUCAAUGGCGCAGGCAAGUAAAAUUUGUCAAUGAUAAACAAUCCUAUAUGAAAUACAGUAAAAAUGACAUUAAACAAAUCACAUUUUGGACGCUAUAAGAAAUACGAGUAAAAAAUGAUUUUUACGAAAUUACUCAUUCUCGCGGUAACAUUGUAACAUUCGGGUCCAUCGUGCUUUCACAAUAAAAGGAUAAAUGUCCUCAAAAUUUACUCGUUCGAUGUGCAUUUUCAUUUUCAUUAUCGAAUUAUUAUCAAAGUACCAAGUUCACAGCUUAACUCGGAAAGAAUAUGAUAUAUUCGAAGGUGGUACGAUUGCGAAAUUAACAAAGGAACAGGCUAAGUCGAUAUGUUAUCAAUUAGCUUCAAAACUAGAAUUUGAAAGUAGCAGUAUCGCAGCUUCGAUGCAGCAUUGCUAUGUGGAUUUAGGAAAAGAAACUUUCGAUAAAUUUUAUGAAGCAGUUUGGAUUUGCAUCUUGAAUUGUGAUCAGUUCGCUUUUGGCAGAGGGCAGUCAAAAUAUGGUUAUUUUCAUUGGAAGCUUGCAAAAGACUACGAUGAAUGGUAUUGCACUCCUGAAAAAAAUAUGUCUGGUCCGUUUAAUUGUUAAUAUGUACAUAGUUGGAUAAUACAUAUUUACUAAUUUAA